Molecule: ribosomal RNA, 439 nt
Filed under: uncultured bacterium
Lineage: Bacteria
Description: bacterial SSU rRNA
Rfam family: Bacterial small subunit ribosomal RNA
Source: RNAcentral
ACGCGUGGAACCUUACCAGGUCUUGACAUCCUCUGACACUCCUAGAGAUAGGACGUUCCCCUUCGGGGGACAGAGUGACAGGUGGUGCAUGGUUGUCGUCAGCUCGUGUCGUGAGAUGUUGGGUUAAGUCCCGCAACGAGCGCAACCCUUGUCCUUAGUUGCCAGCAUUAAGUUGGGCACUCUAAGGAGACUGCCGAUGACAAAUCGGAGGAAGGUGGGGAUGACGUCAAAUCAUCAUGCCCCUUAUGACCUGGGCUACACACGUGCUACAAUGGACGGUACAAGCGGUUGCCAACCCGCGAGGGGGAGCUAAUCCGAUAAAACCGUUCUCAGUUCGGAUUGUAGGCUGCAACUCGCCUACAUGAAGCCGGAAUCGCUAGUAAUCGCGGAUCAGCAUGCCGCGGUGAAUACGUUCCCGGGCCUUGCACACACCGCCCGU